This 506-nucleotide unclassified non-coding RNA is filed under the name Hevea brasiliensis (rubber tree). The record is from RNAcentral. Lineage: Eukaryota; Viridiplantae; Streptophyta; Magnoliopsida; Malpighiales; Euphorbiaceae.
GGCAAAUUUGCACCAAUUGUUGCUGGCUUAAUUGCUGGACAAAGGGAUAUUUCUAGGUGUUGGGCAUGACUUCAUCUAAAUUAUUUUGCCCAAAAACCAACAGAGAAAAAAGAAACACAUUCACCACAUUCUCCAUAUGAAUUAGGACACUAGGAUACGUGUCGAAGCAUUUGUACCCUAAUAUUGCAGUUCAACACAUUUACAUUGGGUAUCUUCCGUUUGUUUGUUUCAUCAAAUUCCACCGUAAAACGUACAACUUGACAAUUUACAGAAGAAUGAAUAAAUUGAAACUUAAUCCCCUGUUACAGAUAAGUUGCACCGAAAAGCUCGAGAUGUAAAAUUCAGCUUUUGCGGAGGUCAUGUAUAUAUUUGUCAUAAUAAUACAUAGGCUUGCUCGCUUAUGGAUUUCUGUUGCAGCAGUCACCAUUCUGGAGGGCUUGGUCGUCACUUGCUUGUAGCUGUAUCACCAGAUCUCAACUCCUUUUCAAGCUCAUCAAACUCCCAGU